Molecule: microRNA precursor, 145 nt
Filed under: Gossypium hirsutum (cotton)
Lineage: Eukaryota; Viridiplantae; Streptophyta; Magnoliopsida; Malvales; Malvaceae
Description: MIR7502 microRNA precursor family
Rfam family: MIR7502 microRNA precursor family
Source: Rfam by way of RNAcentral
UGUUAAAAUUUUUAUUUAUUUCUAGUGUUAAAAAUUGGCGUGGCUGGCAAAAGAAUCAGACAGUUACACGUGAUGUGCCAUAUGUACUUCAUGCUAAUGUACAUGGACAAAUUUUUAACUGUAAAAAUGGAUGGUUUGUUCUUUG